Molecule: long non-coding RNA, 1183 nt
Organism: Salvia splendens (bonfire salvia)
Lineage: Eukaryota; Viridiplantae; Streptophyta; Magnoliopsida; Lamiales; Lamiaceae
Exons: 4
Source: RefSeq, a predicted model, not a curated record
CGAAGAUAUAAAUAUCUUGUUUCCCCGCCAUUGAGAAUUGAUCAAAAUACCUAAACGUGGUGAGGAAGUAAUGUAGGAAGAGGGCAAUCUGAAGGCGAGCCAACUCUGCCCCUGGACAAAACCUAGCUCCUCCGCCAAAAGGAAAUUAGUAAAGCCUCUGAGAUGGAUAACCUGAUUUUCUGGUUCCAUCCAUCUCCAUGGAUUAAAACUACGUGGAUCCUCGUAGACAUUUUCAUCUAAAUGGACUGCUGAAAGAAAUGGCACCACAAAGCUUCCUUUUGGAAUGACAUAAUCUGCAGGAAGGGCAAUCGUGCUAAUCAAGUCUUGGUUGGUUUUGAUAAUGUACGAGACAUGUGGUGGGAAUACUUUGAUGUGAUUUUUUUUAUUGACUGAGCUUUCUAAUUAAACACUUUGGAGAAGUGGUAUGAUGAACUAAUUACCUUUAUAUUCUACUUGUUCUUUGGCUUCUCUCAUGAGCCAAAUGGCAAUGCCUCCUAGACGUAGAGUUUCAUCAAUUACCUGGAGAAAUAUUAAUGGUUGAGUGCCCAGAAUAUAUAUUGUAGCAAGAGGAGUGAGGUCAUAGUGAUAGAUGAUUAAAAGAGGACUUACACAUUGAGUGAAAGGCAUAGCUUUGUAAUCUUGCCAGGUAAGCAUCUCCUCCUCACCCCUUUCACUCCUUAGGCUCUGGUGCUCAUCCUGUGUAGAAAACUAGAUGUAAUUAAAUGGUGUUGGUGUUUGUACAUAAAUAUAGCUGCGAUGUAUCAAGUGCAGGUACCAGCAUUUGCUUCAUGGAUCUGGGACAUUGCGUGAGGAAGUAAACAGCAAAGAGCAUGGUUUUAGCUGUGGUCUCAUUUCCAGCAAAUAGAAGGUUAAUGAUAAAGUCAGCAACCGCAUCAUCAGCCUGGUGAAUGAGGAGAAAUGAAAAAAUGUCAAAAAGAAGAAAAAGAGUUGAAGAAGAAGGACAACAUAUAGUAUUUACCUUCAUUGCCUUGUGAUAAGCGAAGCCUGGUAAAUUGAUCGGAAGAGAGAGGCAGCCAUCAACAAAAUCUUGCGGCAAACAUCUUGAAGGGGGACAACCUGAUUGUGGUGUAGAUUGGUGAAGAUCUGUCCGAUAACUAUCUGAAUAUCCUGCAGGAAGUGAAACCUCAGCUUGUCAAGCCGCAUCAUGUUGGAGGCGAUGGAA